RNAcentral lists this ribosomal RNA (681 nucleotides) under Spheniscus magellanicus (Magellanic penguin). RNAcentral's name for it is "partial 12S ribosomal RNA". It matches the Rfam family "Bacterial small subunit ribosomal RNA", at positions 526 to 1494 of the family's 1533-position model. The record is from RNAcentral. Lineage: Eukaryota; Metazoa; Chordata; Aves; Sphenisciformes; Spheniscidae.
CACAAGAGACCCAAAUUAACUGUAGUACGGCGUAAAGAGUGGCACCAUGCUAUCCUACCAACUAAGAUCAAAAUGCAACUAAGCCGUCAUAAGCCAAAGAUGCAUCUAAAACCACCCUCAACACGAUCUUAGCCUCUCCGACUAAUUAAACCCCACGAAAGCUAGGGCACAAACUGGGAUUAGAUACCCCACUAUGCCUAGCCCUAAAUCUUGAUACUUCCUACCACUAAAGUAUCCGCCCGAGAACUACGAGCACAAACGCUUAAAACUCUAAGGACUUGGCGGUGCCCCAGACCCACCUAGAGGAGCCUGUUCUAUAAUCGAUAACCCACGAUACACCCAACCACCCCUUGCCAAAACAGCCUAUAUACCGCCGUCGCCAGCCCACCUCUCCUGAGAGCCCAACAGUGAGCAUAAUAGCCCCACAUCCGCUAGCAAGACAGGUCAAGGUAUAGCCUAUGGGAUGGAAGAAAUGGGCUACAUUUUCUAAGAUAGACAAUUUCACGGAAGGGGACAUGAAACCGUCCCUAAAAGGCGGAUUUAGCAGUAAAGCGGGAUAAUAAAGCCCCCUUUAAACUGGCCCUGAGGCACGUACAUACCGCCCGUCACCCUCCUCACAAGCUACACACACAUAUAACUAAUACGUCCCCCACCAGCUGAAGACGAGGUAAGUCGUAACAA